RNAcentral lists this non-coding RNA (21 nucleotides) under Rattus norvegicus (Norway rat). The record is from RNAcentral. Lineage: Eukaryota; Metazoa; Chordata; Mammalia; Rodentia; Muridae.
CUAAUUGGUGACACCGAGUUC